Molecule: long non-coding RNA, 402 nt
Organism: Salvia splendens (bonfire salvia)
Lineage: Eukaryota; Viridiplantae; Streptophyta; Magnoliopsida; Lamiales; Lamiaceae
Exons: 3
Source: RefSeq, a predicted model, not a curated record
AAUCAAUCUCUCUCUCUCUCUCUCUCUCACACACACACACACAUACACACACAUACCAGAAAGAGAAAAUGGUGAGCAUCGUUGCAAACAUGAAGAAAGGGAUAAGUAAUCUUGUUGACAUUGUAUCUUGCGGCAGCAGAGGAACAAAGGAAAGUGAUGUUGAAGUGCCAAAGAUGAAAGUUGAGACUAAAUUAGCUACGACAACAGCAAGAGGUGCAGAAAAGGACAUAACCAAUGGUCCUGGUGUUGAAUCGACUUAGAAGAUGACACAAUAUACUAUCACUAUUUAUUGUAUUACUACUUUGCAUCUUCUUGAUUGUUUCAAUUGUUUAUGUAUCUUUGUUAUGUAGUACUGCCAAAUUUGGGUGGUAUUAUUGUUAAGUUUAUAGCUUUAAAUAUUAA